CCUACGGGGAGCAGCAGUGAGGAAUAUUGGUCAAUGGACGAGAGUCUGAACCAGCCAAGUAGCGUGAAGGAUGACUGCCCUAUGGGUUGUAAACUUCUUUUAUAUGGGAAUAAAACGUUCCACGUGUGGGAUUUUGUAUGUACCAUAUGAAUAAGGAUCGGCUAACUCCGUGCCAGCAGCCGCGGUAAUACGGAGGAUCCGAGCGUUAUCCGGAUUUAUUGGGUUUAAAGGGAGCGUAGGUGGAUUGUUAAGUCAGUUGUGAAAGUUUGCGGCUCAACCGUAAAAUUGCGGUUGAAACUGGCAGUCUUGAGUACAGUAGAGGUGGGCGGAAUUCGUGGUGUAGCGGUGAAAUGCUUAGAUAUCACGAAGAACUCCGAUUGCGAAGGCAGUUCACUGGACUGCAACUGACACUGAGGCUCGAAAGUGUGGGUAUCAAACAGGAUUAGAUACCCUGGUAGUC
RNAcentral lists this ribosomal RNA (460 nucleotides) under uncultured bacterium. RNAcentral describes it as "partial 16S ribosomal RNA". It matches the Rfam family "Bacterial small subunit ribosomal RNA", at positions 338 to 795 of the family's 1533-position model. The record is from RNAcentral.